RNAcentral lists this ribosomal RNA (340 nucleotides) under uncultured Rubrobacteria bacterium. RNAcentral describes it as "bacterial SSU rRNA". It matches the Rfam family "Bacterial small subunit ribosomal RNA", at positions 1042 to 1382 of the family's 1533-position model. The record is from RNAcentral. Lineage: Bacteria; Bacillati; Actinomycetota; Rubrobacteria.
GGCAUGGCUGUCGUCAGCUCGUGUCGUGAGAUGUUGGUUAAGUCCCGCAACGAGCGCAACCCCUGUCCUGAUGUUGCCAUCAUUAAGUUGGGGACUCAUCGGAGACUGCCGGUGACAAACCGGAGGAAGGUGGGGAUGACGUCAAGUCAUCAUGCCCUUUAUGUCCAGGGCUACACACGUGCUACAAUGGCCGGUACAAUGGGCUGCGAUACCGCGAGGUGGAGCGAAUCCCUUAAAGCCGGUCUCAGUUCGGAUUGGAGUCUGUAACUCGACUCCAUGAAGGCGGAAUUGCUAGUAAUCGCGAAUCAGCAACGUCGCGGUGAAUACGUUCCCGGGCCUU